CAAUAACACACAAAAAACACAAAAUUCUGAACUCAAAAGCAAAUCAAGAGGUUAACGUCCUUUGCCAGGUAAAUUAGCCCAGUUCAUAAAUUUUACAAGCCAACUGUCAGAAAACUCAUAAGAUAACUGAAUUCAAACCAUAAAAGAAGGAAACUCAAUUCUCCAAAACCCCAAACAAAGCCUAAUCAGCAGCGGACAUAAUUUGUUUGGUACAAUACCUGAAAGAGACAUUGG
Molecule: unclassified non-coding RNA, 234 nt
Filed under: Hevea brasiliensis (rubber tree)
Lineage: Eukaryota; Viridiplantae; Streptophyta; Magnoliopsida; Malpighiales; Euphorbiaceae
Source: RNAcentral